ACAUCAGCUGUCUGGCAGCCUCAGCAAAGGGUCCUCCAGCAUACAGACUACAGGAUAUUAAGGAAAGGAAAAGAAAAAACCAAAGCAACAGCCUUUUCUCUUACAUUCGGAUAUCUUUAGGCCCGAAAACAUGAGGGAUUCACAUCACUGCACGGCACUGAGCUGCAGAUGUGGCCAAUAUUCCGCUUGAGAUCUGACCUGUAACUAAGCCCAAUGCUAAGGCGUUGUUCAAAGCCAUCCAGAGAGGUCCAGCUUGCAGACUUCAGUGCUCCCACAGCAAUGUUUUGGAGGAUAUAAGGAACCUCCAUCAGUGGCCGACCACGUAAUGAAGCUGCCACAUCUCUAUGGGCUGUGGCCAGUAUUGCUCCUGGAGUGGACCAGAGCUGCUUCUUAGAUGUUAUUCCUGUUUUCAGCAUCCAGGAGAGGACAGUGCUGGAAUGAAGCUUGUUUUGCCAGGGGAGGUGCAGAAUGAAUAUUAGGAAACAUUUCUUCUCAGAAGGAGCGGUGCUGCAGUGUUCACAGACUGCCCAGGGAGUGGUGGGGUCACCAUCCUUGGAGGUGUCCAAGAACCAUGGAGAUGUGGCACUGAGACAGAUGUAACUGAGAAAACAACAGUGACACUCCAGCAUCCCCUGUGCUCUGGUGCCCACGACCUGCAGUCAGCAUUGUAGGGUCCUGGGGAGGGCUCUGGGUGAGAACCCCUAUGUGCCUUCCGCAUGGAUGCCAAAGGACAGGAUGGUGAGUUCCCUAUUAGGGAAGUAAGGAAGAAAAACAGCUGCCUGGCCAAGGAUGGAGAACAGCAAUAAAGCAAACUGUUGUAUAGAAAAAGAAUUAAUGUUUGAUGAAAUGGUAUCCUUUCAGGCUUCCUGUUUGUUCCGUGUCCCAUUUUCAGCUGGUAGUCAUACAGUACAUGAAAGCAGAAGUCCAUGUAAUGUUUUUGCUCUGGGACUGAGAUGUGUUUUGUGAGGUGUCUGAUGCUGCCUUUACAUGGUGCUUUCAGAAACUAAAAAAGGAAACUGCUGUAUGGUAAGCACAGAGCUGGUCUGAGUAUUUAGGACGUUGUGGAUGCCCCAUCCCUGGAGGCAUUCAAGGCCAGGCUGGAUGUGGCUCUGGGCAGCCUGGUCUGCUGGUUGGCAACCCUGCACAUAGCAGGGGGUUGGAACUGGAUGAUCAUUGUGGUCCUUUGCAACCCAGGCCAUUCUAUGAUUCUGUGAUUUAUCAGUGUCUUGCUGUCAAGCUCAGAGGACGUUUCAAAGGAAUUCCCCCAGGAGUUAGUCCUGGUUCAGUUCUAUUCAAUACUUAAGAACUUGCAUGAUGGAAUAAAGAGCUCACCUAUCCCACAUGUGGAUGGCAGCUGUGAAGGACUGCAAACACUUCAAAGUCAGAGUUGAAAUUCUGAACUGAAGAAAUGGUCCCAGAGUCACAGUGAAGCAGUCCAGCCAAGGCAAGUUAGGCUGACCAUUGUGGUUAGCAAGAGAGAUGUUGCAGGAUACACACAGAGAUCAGUGCGAUUGCUGGUGGAAGAGCCAUAUGCAGGGAGUUGGGAAAGGAUCCCAAGGGAUCAGGAAGAGCUCUCCCCUUCCCAAAAGCAGGGUUAAUCUGGAGAUUAAAGACCACUCAUUAAUACAGACUGCCUCCAUACAAUUACUUCUUUUCUCCCCUUAGUUAAACUCACUGCAUAGGAAUCUAACAAAAUCAGAAAUGACUUCCUCAUUUGUGGUUUCUCUUCUUCUAGCCACCCAAUGGCCAGAGAUGACCCAGGUGGAAAACCUCGGUCCUAAGGCACAUUCCUGUGGUGUGAGUGUCCCAGGUACGCUGGGAGCUUUCUCCCUGUGAGCCCACACAUCCCACAGCCUCUUCUGUUCUCCUCUCAGAAUGUGGUUUUUCAGGUCUUCAGUGCUAGUUUUGGUUGCUGGACCACAGACUAAGGUAUGUCUGUGCCAGGACGUGCACACAGAUCUUCUUUGCUUGGAGGGGUGGAUGUGCAUAUCUUGUUGUGCCAUUUUGCUGGGUUUUUUUUUUCUCCUCCUUCCACAUCUCUUAAUUAAAUCAUAAAUUUACAUAAAAAAAGUCUUACAGUCCAAGGCAUAAUCACCUCACUGCACUGAACAAGUCACAGCCUACACUUAGAUUAUUACAUAGCUACUCUAUAUUAAAUUAUAUUCAUGGCUAUUAAAGGUGAAAGAAAAAGGAGCAUUGAGAACACGUGGCUGCUGCAGGAUGGCAAUAGCCUUCCAGAAGGCAUUACAAGAUCCACAAGGUCGUUUGAAUUCACCAUGCCUAAUUAAGUUGUUCUCAGUGUUAACAGCUGAAAAGCCAUUCAAAGUAGUUUAUGUAUCAGCUUUGUUAAGUAGAGUAUUAGCUGCAUGGGAGUAAAGGCAAAUAAUGUGCAAGGGAAAAUUCCUCAGUCUUAAACAAUCAGAACAAGGUCUAAAGAAAAGCUCAUUAUAAUGACUUCUCUUUAUGCUAGUUAACAGAUUUCCUGCAGGGAAAAAAACACUUUUCCAUGCCACCGUAGGGGGCCCAGCAAAACCCAAACAACUUUUGCCCUACUACAUCUUUGAAGAGCACAGAGAAGGGGCUUGUGCUGUUCUUCCUGACCCUCAUUACAGCCUGCGAGUCUGCAUAGAAAAACAGACCAAUGGUGGGGGAAAAGAGCAAAAUGCAGGAUUUUAGUGUUGGCUACACACAGCACCAUUUCCAUCACCACAUCCUCCGUCCUUUGAAUGCACCACUAUACUUUGAAAAAACGUAUAGGGAGCUCCAAAACAAGACUGUUCAGCGAUGAAGGGGCCAAGCUGUACAUCUGAUGCACUACAUGAACACCCAUCAAGAUUAACUCCUUUCAGAUGCUCUGCUCCUGACGCUGUGCUCAUUAACACUGCACCUGUACAGCCCAGCACCCUGGUUUCCAUCCAGGUGACCUCCAUAAAUGUAUUCAGCGAGCUGCAAUUACAAUUCACUGAGUCAGUCUGCCCUAAACCAAGACACAGAGAACAUCUUGGUAGACAGUACUGGGACAUUCAGCUUGAAAAUGCCAACACUGUGUAAGUUUGCUUUGCUUUACACUAUGUGUAGGGUAGGAAAUUAGAUGUGUCUCUGUCAGCUUGCCUACACUAUUUCCUAUCUUAAUAUGAGUCACUGUAACAAAGGGGGAAAAAGUGUGGCAAAGAAGCCCAAAUCCAAUUGCUCAUUGAAGUUAGUGUGUAUUAUGACUAAUGUAAGUAAUCAAUUUGAGCUGUCCAUUUGAGAAGAGUUUAUUAAAUAAAUGGAAAAGAGAGG
Gallus gallus (chicken) is the source of this 3282-nucleotide long non-coding RNA. The record is from Ensembl. Lineage: Eukaryota; Metazoa; Chordata; Aves; Galliformes; Phasianidae.